This 253-nucleotide ribosomal RNA is filed under the name uncultured bacterium. RNAcentral's name for it is "partial 16S ribosomal RNA". It matches the Rfam family "Bacterial small subunit ribosomal RNA", at positions 524 to 776 of the family's 1533-position model. The record is from RNAcentral.
UACGUAGGUUGCGAGCGUUGUUCGGAUUUAUUGGGCGUAAAGGGUUCGUAGGGGGUUGACUAAGUCUGACGUGAAAUCCCGGAGCUUAACUCCGGAACUGCGUUGGAAACUGGUUGACUAGAGCGUCGGAGAGGGGAGUGGAAUUCCUGGUGUAGCGGUGGAAUGCGUAGAUAUCAGGAGGAACACCGAAAGCGAAGGCAGCUCCCUGGACGACUGCUGACCCUGAGGAACGAAAGCGUGGGGAGCAAACAGG